This 421-nucleotide ribosomal RNA is filed under the name uncultured bacterium. RNAcentral's name for it is "partial 16S ribosomal RNA". It matches the Rfam family "Bacterial small subunit ribosomal RNA", at positions 360 to 773 of the family's 1533-position model. The record is from RNAcentral.
AAUAUUGGACAAUUGGGGCAACCCUGCUCCAGCCAUGCCGCGUGUGUGAAGAAGGUCUUCGGAUUGUAUAGCACUUUAAUUUGGGAGGAAGGGCUUUAGGUUAAUACCCUGAAGUUUUGACGUUACCAACAGAAUAAGCACCGGCUAACUCUGUGCCAGCAGCCGCGGUAAUACGAAGGGUGCAAGCGUUAAUCGGAAUUACUGGGCGGAAAGGGCGAGUAGGUGGUUCAGUAAGAUGGGUGUGAAAUCCCCGGGCUUAACCGGGGAACUGCUUUCAUAACUGCUGAGCUAGAGUACGGUAGAGGGUAGUGGAAUUUCCUGUGUAGCGGUGAAAUGCGUAGAUAUAGGAAGGAACACCAGUGGCGAAGGCGACUACCUGGACUGAUACUGACACUGAGGUGCGAAAGCGUGGGGAGCAAAC